RNAcentral lists this ribosomal RNA (539 nucleotides) under uncultured bacterium. Its description in RNAcentral is "bacterial SSU rRNA". It matches the Rfam family "Archaeal small subunit ribosomal RNA", at positions 723 to 1262 of the family's 1478-position model. The record is from RNAcentral.
ACUGAAUAGAUACCCGGGUAGUCCCAGCCGUAAACGAUGCUCGCUAGGUGUCAGGCAUGGCGCGACCGUGUCUGGUGCCGCAGGGAAGCCGUGAAGCGAGCCACCUGGGAAGUACGGCCGCAAGGCUGAAACUUAAAGGAAUUGGCGGGGGAGCACAACAACGGGUGGAGCCUGCGGUUUAAUUGGACUCAACGCCGGACAACUCACCGGGGGCGACAGCAAUAUGUAGGCCAAGCUGAAGACUUUGCCUGAAUCGCUGAGAGGAGGUGCAUGGCCGUCGCCAGUUCGUACUGUGAAGCAUCCUGUUAAGUCAGGCAACGAGCGAGACCCGUGCCCACUGUUACCAGCAUGUCCUCCGGGACGAUGGGUACUCUGUGGGGACCGCCGAUGUUAAAUCGGAGGAAGGUGCGGGCCACGGUAGGUCAGUAUGCCCCGAAUCUCCCGAGCUACACGCGGGCUACAAUGGAUGGGACAAUGGGUCCCUCCCCUGAAAAGGGCUGGUAAUCUCACAAACCCAUUCGUAGUUCGGAUCGAGGGCU